GGGGAAUGCAGGCUCUGGGCUCAUCUCUUACCACAUGCCCUUCCCCCACCCCACCCCUAUUUCCCUGCAGAUGAACCAAAUUAAACUGCACAGCCUCAAAGGGAGAGGUUGCCAAAAGACAGUCUGAGGGGAAAUGGGAAGAAGCAAUCCCCAUUCUGCUUUAGGGCUGGGGACAAAAGGGUUCCUUCUUCCUUGAAUACUGUUAAUCACAGGCCUUUUGGGGGCCCUGCUGGAGACAUCCCAUGGGCUGUCCUCUAAAUCACAUGAGAUGACUCGUCUCCACCCACAUCAGCCACCCUGCUUUCCACACUGUGGAAACUUCUCUGUUCUUCUCUGACAAUUGAAUGCCAAAAUUUUUGAGGUUCUUUCCUGCCAAUAAAUUCUGUUUUGUUCCAGGGGAAAUAGGAGUCUACCAUAAAUGCUUUAUUUGUAUGCAGUAUUUAUAGUGUUCGUCCACCUAAGUAUGAUCAGUGUUUUCCUUUUCACAUCCAGCCAGCCAUCCUGGGUCUUCUUGCAGGACGGACAGUCUGGAGGCACUGAAACAGGUGCAGGAGAUAGAGAGGAUGUCCCCUGGCACUAAGACAGAUCGCAUUUGACCCCACUGUUCUCUGUCAGUGGAUGGGGAAGGCACAUUUUAACAAGAGUGGGGAUCUCUCUCAGGUUCUUUGAGGUGCCGCCACUCCUGCUCUACCGGCAAACCUAACACCUAUUCAAUAUCAUGCCCGUAAGGUAUGAACACUGGGGACUAAUCGAGAAGAGCAGUGAAGGGGAAACUGAGGCAAGGGCCAAGGCCAGGCCGGUGGGUAUUGCUGCUUCCAAGGCAGCUGGGGAGGAGAGAUCCCAUUUCCUGAGCUAAGCUUGUUCCAUUUCAGUUUGAACAGAUGGAAAUAUAGUUCAAUGUUUCAACAUCAUUUGCCUUUCUCGUGCUAAAAUAUUGAUAAGUGCUGCCCGGGCUGAUGCCCCCGCAGUUCCGAGCAGUAACUAGAGCAUGAUGUGUACUGAAGUGAGACAUGGCAAAGCCUUUAACGAGUGUUUAAAAUUCCUGGAAUAAUGCUCAACACUGGCUCGGCUCGUUCGGCUCCUGAAAACUGUCCCCCCUCCGGGUCGCCCUCUAAUCGGCAGGAGGAGUGCGAGCACAGCCCUGCCCCCCUGCUGGUGGCAAUUAGUGCGGCAGCUGCUCGUCUUCAGGACGGGAAACAAUGCAGGGGGUGCCUGCAUCUGCCCAGGCGGCUGAGCCAGGCAGGGAGGCUGGCGCACCGGGGAGGCGAGGACACAGGGAGCUGGCUCCUCCACCUGCAGGGGGCUGUCACACGGAACUCAGACCCCAGGGAGAGGGAACACUGGGUGGGGCCCUCCAGAAAGGCAGAUGAGGGAAGGGCAAGAAAAGAGGGAAGAACGCUGGGCACGGUGGCUCACGCCUGUAAUCCCAGGACUUUAGGAGGCCGCCAUGGGUGGAUCACCUGAGGUCAGGAGUUCAAGACCAGCCUGGCCAACAUGGUGAAACUCUGUCUCUACUAAAAAAAAAAAAAAAAAAAAAAAAAA
Molecule: long non-coding RNA, 1542 nt
Filed under: Macaca fascicularis (crab-eating macaque)
Lineage: Eukaryota; Metazoa; Chordata; Mammalia; Primates; Cercopithecidae
Description: lncRNA (ENSMFAG00000061377.1)
Source: RNAcentral